Molecule: ribosomal RNA, 823 nt
Filed under: Bacillus safensis
Lineage: Bacteria; Bacillati; Bacillota; Bacilli; Caryophanales; Bacillaceae
Description: bacterial SSU rRNA
Rfam family: Bacterial small subunit ribosomal RNA
Source: RNAcentral
GAGUAACACGUGGGUAACCUGCCUGUAAGACUGGGAUAACUCCGGGAAACCGGAGCUAAUACCGGAUAGUUCCUUGAACCGCAUGGUUCAAGGAUGAAAGACGGUUUCGGCUGUCACUUACAGAUGGACCCGCGGCGCAUUAGCUAGUUGGUGGGGUAAUGGCUCACCAAGGCGACGAUGCGUAGCCGACCUGAGAGGGUGAUCGGCCACACUGGGACUGAGACACGGCCCAGACUCCUACGGGAGGCAGCAGUAGGGAAUCUUCCGCAAUGGACGAAAGUCUGACGGAGCAACGCCGCGUGAGUGAUGAAGGUUUUCGGAUCGUAAAGCUCUGUUGUUAGGGAAGAACAAGUGCGAGAGUAACUGCUCGCACCUUGACGGUACCUAACCAGAAAGCCACGGCUAACUACGUGCCAGCAGCCGCGGUAAUACGUAGGUGGCAAGCGUUGUCCGGAAUUAUUGGGCGUAAAGGGCUCGCAGGCGGUUUCUUAAGUCUGAUGUGAAAGCCCCCGGCUCAACCGGGGAGGGUCAUUGGAAACUGGGAAACUUGAGUGCAGAAGAGGAGAGUGGAAUUCCACGUGUAGCGGUGAAAUGCGUAGAGAUGUGGAGGAACACCAGUGGCGAAGGCGACUCUCUGGUCUGUAACUGACGCUGAGGAGCGAAAGCGUGGGGAGCGAACAGGAUUAGAUACCCUGGUAGUCCACGCCGUAAACGAUGAGUGCUAAGUGUUAAGGGGGUUUCCGCCCCUUAGUGCUGCAGCUAACGCAUUAAGCACUCCGCCUGGGGGAGUACGGUCGCAAGACUGAAACUCAAAGGAAUUGAC